UGCUCAGAUUUGUUGAAGAUUAGAAAGAGAUAGUAUUAUUCUGUCUUGUGUAUUAUUAUCUCAAGGUGAAACAUCCUCAAGAUAGAAGCUUGCAAUUAAUUGAUUAAUUUUUAUAUUUAUUAAUCUUUGGUUAUAUAAAAAGACUUUAAUUAUUCUGUAACGUGUGAAUUAUAAUUUCUAGAAGUAUAAUAAAAAGAUAUUGUUUCCAAUGUAUAUUCCAUCA
Molecule: long non-coding RNA, 223 nt
Organism: Apis laboriosa (Himalayan honeybee)
Lineage: Eukaryota; Metazoa; Arthropoda; Insecta; Hymenoptera; Apidae
Exons: 2
Source: RefSeq, a predicted model, not a curated record